GUAACAUUCGACACUAUAGCUGUUGACGCCAGAGAUAGUAGGGCGGCUUCUCGUACAAUUUAGAGAAGUCGUUAUGCCUGCUAGUCGAGCAGCCAACCACCGGUCGGGGGGCUGCCGGCAAGACGACCUGGUACGGGGAAGGCCUUCAUUUCUGUCUAAGGGACAGGGCUAAUCCGGUGGCGAGCUUGCAGUAGGGUGACYUCUGCAAAGCCGUCGUAACGCACGGUAAGGCGUCGGCUGGUCUCUGCUUGCAGAGUCGGCUUAAGGGACGUGCUAAACCCAUCCGAUGAUAAAGGAUGCCACAAACUUUAGAACCCGACCAUCSMARGUUUGUGGGGGCCAUGGCGCYARGARGAAAUGCCUAGCACCSARUCCSGUAUYCAAUUG
This 387-nucleotide ribosomal RNA is filed under the name Klebsormidium nitens. The record is from RNAcentral. Lineage: Eukaryota; Viridiplantae; Streptophyta; Klebsormidiophyceae; Klebsormidiales; Klebsormidiaceae.